This 411-nucleotide ribosomal RNA is filed under the name uncultured bacterium. Its description in RNAcentral is "bacterial SSU rRNA". It matches the Rfam family "Bacterial small subunit ribosomal RNA", at positions 29 to 490 of the family's 1533-position model. The record is from RNAcentral.
AGCGAACGCUGGCGGCAGGCCUAAUACAUGCAAGUCGAGCGCACCUUCGGGUGAGCGGCGGACGGGUGAGUAACGCGUGGGAAUGUGCCCUUUGGUACGGAACAACACAGGGAAACUUGUGCUAAUACCGUAUGUGCCCUUCGGGGAAGGAUUAUUGCCAUUGGAGCAGCCCGCGUUGGAUUAGCUAGUUGGUGAGGUAAAGGCCCACCAAGGCUACGAUCCAUAGCUGGCUGAGAGGAUGAUCAGCCACACUGGGACUGAGACACGGCCCAGACUCCUACGGGAGGCAGCAGUAGGGAAUCUUGGACAAUGGGCGCAAGCCUGAUCCAGCCAUGCCGCGUGAGUGAUGAAGGCCCUAGGGUUGUAAAGCUCUUUUACCCGGGAAGAUAAUGACUGUACCGGGAGAAUAAG